Molecule: ribosomal RNA, 281 nt
Filed under: uncultured prokaryote
Description: partial 16S ribosomal RNA
Rfam family: Bacterial small subunit ribosomal RNA
Source: RNAcentral
UACGUAGGGGGCUAGCGUUAUCCGGAAUUACUGGGCGUAAAGGGUGCGUAGGCGGUCUUUCAAGCCAGAAGUGAAAGGCUACGGCUCAACCGUAGUAAGCUUUUGGAACUGUAAGACUUGAGUACAGGAGAGGAGAGUGGAAUUCCUAGUGUAGCGGUGAAAUGCGUAGAUAUUAGGAGGAACACCAUUAGCGAAGGCGGCUCCCUGGACUGUAACUGACGCUGAAGCACGAAAGCGUGGGGAGCAAACAGGAUUAGAUACCCUGGUAGUCCCUGAGCGGG